Molecule: ribosomal RNA, 303 nt
Filed under: uncultured bacterium
Lineage: Bacteria
Description: bacterial SSU rRNA
Rfam family: Bacterial small subunit ribosomal RNA
Source: RNAcentral
CUGGCGGCGUGCCUAACACAUGCAAGUCGAACGGAGUCGGCCCCGCAAGGGACUGACUUAGUGGCGCACGGGUGAGUAACACGUGUGCAACCAACCCCGUACCGGGAGAUAACCCGCGGAAACGUGGACUAACACCCCAUAACACCUUUCCCCCGCAUGGGGGAGAGUUUAAAAUCACGAUGGUACGGGACGGGCACGCGCGACAUUAGGUAGUUGGCGGGGUAACGGCCCACCAAGCCGACGAUGUCUAGGGGUUCUGAGAGGAAGGUCCCCACACUGGAACUGAGACACGGUCCAGACUCC